Molecule: non-coding RNA, 54 nt
Organism: Salmo salar (Atlantic salmon)
Lineage: Eukaryota; Metazoa; Chordata; Actinopteri; Salmoniformes; Salmonidae
Source: Rfam
AAUGCACCAAUUUGUAAGUCGCUCUGGAUAAGAGCGUCUGCUAAAUGUCUGCUA